This 10186-nucleotide long non-coding RNA is filed under the name Salvia miltiorrhiza (redroot sage). RNAcentral describes it as "long non-coding RNA (SMIL_LNC005229)". The record is from RNAcentral. Lineage: Eukaryota; Viridiplantae; Streptophyta; Magnoliopsida; Lamiales; Lamiaceae.
CAGAAAUGGGCACUGUCGAGAUUUACUAAGCUACGGUACAAACUGCUUAAGCUUCCAAUGGUAGGCGCCUCGUCGUCUCCAUAGUGCUUCUUGAGGACUUUCACAAUUCUUCCCAACGGCAAACUCAAGAAGCUUAACAAAAUGUCUGCAAAAUGGCUGUCAGCUUCUGCGAAAAAUACCUUAGUUCUCUCUUUAUUGAUCAUCACUUUCAAUGAGAACUCUGCAUCUUUAGCAUCAUCCAUUCUCGAGGUCCUACAAAUCAAGAAAAUUCCGAUUGACGAUAUUUAGAUCAAGCACAAGUACAUUGUCUCACUAAAUCUGAAAACUUCAAUUAUUAUGCAAGUAAAGGUAGAUCUUCACUAUGCCGAAAAGAUGUUCAUAUAUGUCUGUUGCAUCAAUAAGAAUACAAUAAAAUUUCUUGCAUGCGUGUGCUGAUUUAGCGGUAAAGUAGUUAACGUUUGAGGCAUUUAGGCUCAAGUUCGAGUACACCGUGACACGGUCUUGUAAAAUAUUCCAAUCUCCUCCCCAAAAAAAAUCUUGAGCUAAAAAAUAAUUCCAUAAUAUACAUGAUAUACCUCAACAGAAAAUAAACAUAAAGGUGAGGUCUAAUAACUAAAAUAUUUAAACUUGAAUUUGAUACAGAAGUCGUCACUGCACUAAUUAGUUUAUAUGUGUAUUGAUCUAAUAGUAGAAUAUAAUUAAUGUUUGAGGUUAAAGGUAUCAAGAUUGCUAUUUGGACAUAAUAUGUUCAUAUAUAAAAUGGUCAAAUAUAUAAAACUAGUAAGGCGCCCGUCGAAAUUCGACGGGUAUAUUUUAUUAUAAUAUAAUAUAAUAUAAUUAUUUAAUAUAAUUUUUUGUUCAUAAAUUUCAUUUCAAUAAAAUAAAGUAUUGAAUAAAAUAAUUUUAAAAUAAAAAAUAAAUUUUCUGGAUUAGAUGCAUUAAUAUUCAUUAUGUCAGAGUAUAUGUUUUCCACUAUAAUUACAAUAGGAUUUGUUGCAUCCCGUAUAAGAAUAUCUUCUGACAAUGUCACAUUAAAUUCUUCAUCACUAAUACUUUAAAAAACAGCACUGUCACCUACUUUAAGUAUCCAUUCUAUGAAUUCUUUGUUUCUUCUGCAUUCAAACCAGAAACAUUUGUCUGAUUUAUUAUGAAAAAAAUUAUGUAUAAUAUCAAAGCAGUAUUUGUGCGUCAUUGACGCCUCAUCUCAAAUAAUAAGCUUUGUCUUUUCGAGAAACCCAGUUAAAUCGCUAUCUAAGCUAAUCUUGUUGCAUGUGAUGUUUUCGUGGCAGUCUAAUGAUACCCAAAAUAUAUAUAGAGUGUACUUCGUCAUAGCCUUUUUUUUAUUAUAAUUGUAGAUAAUCACUAUCUUAAUCAACUUCUGAAAGUUUUCAAAAAAAUAAUAAUUCAACUUCAGAAAGAUCUUCAUUGUGGAAAUUUUAGUUACACCCGAAAUAAAAUUUAAAUUGUGAGCAAAAUUUUAUAAAGUUAGCUUAGCUGAAUAUUAGUAUAUGAAUAUCAUCUGAGGGCAUUUCAUAGUUGGUAUUUCUAAUUAAAUCCUUGCAUUCGACUGCGAAGACUACUUUCUGUAGGUGCAUCUGUGCUAUUAUCUGAUGAGAAUAUUAGUAUAUGAAUAUUGUAACUCAUGAAUGUUAUACAUAAAAUUCAUGCAUUUUUGCUGGUUCGUAAUUAUUAAAAUAAGGGUGGUUUAUUCAAUAAACGCCACAUAUAUAUAUAAACUAUAGAUAUAAAAUAUUUGGAGAUAAUGUGUCAUUAUUGUAACAAUUGUUUUAGACUUAUUUUAUACUUUUAAAAGUGGAAUGUAAUUAUAUAAACGAUGCUUUCUUAUAUAUGAUAAUUUAGAUAUAGAUUUUGUAAAAAUCAGAAAUAAAUUCAAACAAUAUUAUAAAUAUAUAUCUAUGUCAAGAUCAAAUCGUAGAUAAUUUUAAAUAAUAUUGGUUAUAGCCUUAUAGGUAUCACGAUUGCCUAAUUGAUCGCUUAUUCAUAUCAUAAAUAUUUAUCUAUUUUCAUAAAUAGUGAUAACAAUAAUAUAUUAUUAUAUUUAUCAUAUCAUUAUAUAUAAAUAUAUAUAGAUUUUAUAAUUAGUAGAGUUUAAUUUGAGGUCGAAUUCUAGAUUAAAGAUUUAGAAGAAAAAUAAGAAUAAAUGAGAAUUGAGGAAAAUUAGAAUAAAGUGAUUAUACGCCGCCACGUAGGAUAUGAUUUAUUUUGCUUUUAUAUAUAUAUAGAAUCGAUUAAUUUAAAAAUUUUGGCUACAAAAAUAAAAAAGGAUUUAGUUAAAUUAAAAAUAAAGACAGCUACAAUGUGAACAAAAUUUUAAAACUAGCUUUAUUUUUUUUUAAAUCGAAAAUUUAAUAUUAAUUUUAUUUUGUAUAUAUUUGUUAAGUUCGAAUCCCCUGNAUAUAUACACAUAUAAACAUAUAAUUCAUUAUGGAAUUAUAAACGUGGGUUAUGCAAUUUUUCUUUUUAAACGUGGGGUGGUGUGCAUUUUUUAAAAAUUAUGGGUUAUGCAAUUUUAAUUGAGUUAGUUACUUAAUUUUUGAAUAUAUACAAUAAGUCAUUAUUUUUGUAAGAAAUCACAAAAUUGCCAUCUAAAUCAAUUUGAAAUCAAUUUCUAAUUGAAAACUGCUGUUUUAAUAUAGUAUAGAUGUUAAAUUUGAGUCAAUUCUAAAGGUAAAAGUAAAAUUACUAAUUACUAACAAUGAAAAUUAGUUUAUUUGUUUAGAAGAUGAAACAAUUUUUUUUUAAGAAAAAUGAAUAAAAGUACGUUUUUAUAUGCUUUCAAUCUACUUGAUGUUGAAUUAAUUGAAUUGCGAACAAUUAUCUUAUUAUAUUAAGUGAUUGUUGAAAAAAUGUAUGAAAUGAAGUGUACGGAAUGCUCAAAAAAUUUUGCUUCGGGGGCGCCGUAGUCCAAUAGAUUCAGCCCCCCCUAACAUUGAAUCCUGGAUCCGCCCCUGGACAUGAUCAUAGUAGAUGCUUAGGCUACGAAACCUAUUAGGCUGAGUGUGACGCCGAACGUAUGAAUAUUUACAAUAGAAACAUUCAGCAGGCUGAAAAUCAGUGAUGUCGAGUUUCAGCCUCCCGUAUUCAUCUUCGAAUGAACUUGUUGGAUCAAGCAGAGUCUGCUUAGCUCCAUCAGUCCAGAAAUAGGCACUGUCGAGAUUUGCUAAGCUACGGUACAAACUGCUUAAGCUACCAACGGAAGGCGGCUCGUCUCCAUAGUGGUGGUCGAGGAUUUUGACAAUUCUUCCCAACGGCAAAGUCAAGAAGCUUAACAAAAUGUCUGCAAAAUGGCUGUCGGAGUCUGCAAAGAAUACCUUAGUUCUCUCUUUAUUGAUCAUCACUUUCAACGAAAAUGUAGCACCCUUUUUAUCAUCAGCCAUUCUUGAAAUAUAUAUGUGGUACAAACAAAGAAAUAUUUGAAUAAUGUAAUCGGAAGACUUCAGCAAUCCCUGCAAUUUUAUGGGGGAAGAAGUUAACCAAGCGCCACUAGUCCCACCAAAUUCCAAGACCCAUCGGAUUGUAUUUUAUUAACUUCCCUAUUUUAUUUAAUCCAAAAAAAAUCGAUUUUAUUUAAGAUUGGAAAAGUGAGGUAGAAGUACCUCUUCCAACUAAAUUGCCGAUUUAGUGUCAAUGUAGAACACAUGCAGUUUAAAUUUAAAUAAGUUUCAUUUUAAAUAUAGGUUUAUAAAUUUGAUGCAUGCAUGUGAUCGACAGUUUCAUAUUUUUUUAAAUGAAACAAUUUCAUAAAUAUUAGGAGAUCAAAUGCAUCCCAUCUGGCUGCUCAAUUCCAAGUUAGUUACUGACGUUUAAUUUGAUUUUGUAUCUCAUAAAGAGAGUGAAUGCAGAGAGUCUUGGAAUUUGGUGGGACUAAUGACUCUUNUCAUUUUAGAUAUAGGUUUACAAAUUUGAUGCAUGCAUGUGAUAACAAUUUCAUAAUUUUUUUUUUGAAACAAUUUCAUAAAUAUUAGGAGAUCAAAUGCAUCCCAUAUGUAGCUGCUCAGUUCCAAGUUAGCUACUGACGUUUAAUUUGAUUCUGUAUCUCAUAAAGAGAGUGAAUGCAGAGAGUCUUGGAAUUUGGUGGGACUAUUAUGACUCUUAGGUUGACUUCUUCCCCAUAAAAAAGGGAGGGUUUGGUGAAAACCAUCGAUUACAUUAUUAUCUCAAGAAUGUCUGAAGUUGAGAAGGAUGUCAAGUUGUCAUUGAAAGUGAUGAUAAACAAAGAGAGAAAUGAGGUACUCUUUGCAGAAGCCGACAACCAUUUCACAGACAUUUUGCUAAGCUUCUUGAGUUUGCCGUUGGGAAGAAUUUUCAAAGUCUUCAAGAAGCACUAUGGCGAUGAGCUUUCUACCAUUGGAAGCUUAAGUAGUUUGUACCAUAGCUUAACAAAUCUUGAUAGCGCCCAUUUUGUGACGGAUGGUGCUAAGCAGACUCUGCUCAGUCCAGCCAGUUUAUUUGAAGAUGAAUACAAAAGGCUGAAACUCGAUAUCACUGAUUCUCCGCCUGCUGAAUAUUUCUAUUGUUCAGGCCGUGCCCCUCAUGGUAGAUUACAUAUUGUAAGCAUGUACUAUGACUCUGUUGAGCGUUGCAUACUUUGCCAUCGUACGAUGAAAAAAGCAGUAGCUAAGAAAGGGUCUGAAGCAGAUUCUUCUAGUGAUGGAGUGUUGACUAUACGUAAAGCAUCUUUCACAAUCUCUGAUGAUCUUCAUAUAUUUCCAAAUGAGAUUGGACUCCUACCAAUCAUCACCCUUCUCGGCAUUACAGAUGCGCAUAAGGCUGAGGAAAUCAAAGUGGAUCUUGGCUUCAAUGAGGUGAUUUCUUGAUUCUCUUUAAAUUAAAUCUCAAUCUUUGUUAUAACUAGUUAUAUAAUUAUUAAUUAAUUAAUUUGUGUAUGUAUUGUUGUUAGAUUAUGAAAUUGUUGAAGGCAUGCAUGACGUCCCCAACUCCAUUGUCGGACGUCAUCCUGAAUAAAACAACACACUUGAAGUCUGCAGAGGUUCCAUUGCACGAGAUGGUAGUAAAGGAAGAAAACACCAACACUAUGAGUUUGAAAGUUACCAUACAAAAAUCGACAGGUAAGUUGCUGUAUGCUCAAGCUAAAGAAGAUUUUAUCGAGUUUCUAUUUGGUUUCUUCAACAUCCCACUAGGAGGAGUUGGGCAUCUUCUGGCUGGCAAGACUCGUGUGAAGGCUAUAAACAACUUGUAUCUGAGCACAGAUGACCAUGUAAACGACGAGUAUUUCAAAACCUCGGUUAUGAAAAGAAGGCUAUUGGAACCCAAUGUGGUUCAUGGAUGCAUUUCUGAAAACAACAUUCUUCGCCUUACUGAAGAACCUUUGCCUGUUGACUACACACGCUAUAACGACUAUUUUUCUUCAGUGAAGUUUCCCAAAGGGAAAGGGAGGUGUCUUGAGCGACCAGCAACUUAUAAGGUGACAGAUGAUUUAACUGUGACCCCUUUUUGCACUGUCUCCAUUCUUUCCACUCUCAAUAGCUUGAAAAUCCCAAUAACUGAUGUCCAAGAAAUGGAGCUGCAAAUCGGAUUGAAAGAGGUAUAUAAUACAAUUUUAAAUAUGUGAUUAUGUUUUGUAGCAUGUGUUGAGAUGAAGUUUGUUGGUGCAGGGCUUGAGCAUACUGAAAGCUUCUCUUACAUCCACUUCUGCUCUCACAGAUUCUCUCCUCAGUCAUAAAUCGAGCAAGAAACCGAAGAAAGAACUCUCAGGCUGAUCCUUGGUUGCAACUAUUACAAAUAGUAUUAAUUAGCAACUAUGGUGCUUAUGUUUGUUUUUUGUUUCUGUAGAAAGCAUACUCUUGAAAGUUAUACAACUAAAAUCGAACUGUCAAAUGGAAUUUUUCCAAUUUAAAAUGUCGAAAAAUUCAUUGACAAUGCUACCUCGCUAACAAAAUCAGAGCAAUCCACAACUAAAAAUAACUACUGAAACUUGAAAUAGUUUACACUAUAAGAUUUUCUUUUUCAUUUCUUGGAAUCCCACACCAUGUCCUACUAUCAAAACUAUCUGACAUUUAAAAAAAAAUCAUGUUUAUAUUCCAAAAAUUAUUAUUUCUCACACCCGAAGAUGACGUGGCAUAUCUGAUGUGGCCUAAAUAUUUGAAAGCUAUAGUGAAUAAAGAGAAUCUUGAAGAAGCAAUAUCUGAUUUGAAUCUCUGAAUAUCUAGUUGUCAUGUUUUCUGGUUAUUAUCUAUUUUUUGCUAUUCUCGUUUUAUGUUUUGUGGUAUAUGCAUAUUAAGAGCAUCCCUUACAUCUGAUUAUGAUUCUGCUUGGCAUUAUCAUAAAAUAUGAUGCACAAAAAAUCUCUCUUUUGUAAGAUCAAUUUUCAUUUGAUUGGAUAUUUAGAGGGUGUUUGGCUAAGCUUAUUUUAAAGAGCUUAUAAGCUCUUGGAGCUUAUAAGAUGUUUCAAGAGCUUAUAAGAUGUAGUUUUCUAAGAACUUAUAAGUUGUCAAAGUGUUUGGAUAAUUGAGCUUAUAAGCUAGAGAGAGAAUUUUUUUCUAGAGAGAGAAAAUAUUUUUCUAGAGAGAGAAAAUCGAAGAGAAAUGAACUUAAAUGAUAUAUGAUGAAAAUAAUAAAUUAUAGUUGAAAAAUAUUUGUAAAAUAAUUAUUACAUAUGAGAUUAUAAAAAAAUAAGUUGGGGUAGAGGAACUUAUUUAUUUGGGAAGCUUAUAAGUUCUUGGAGCUUAUUUUUGGAACUUAUAAGUUAUUUAUGAGCUUAUUUUAUCAAAUACUUUGAAAGAGCUUAUAAGCUCCUAAACAGUUCAUAAGCUGUUUUGAAGAGCUUAUAGGCUAAGAGCUUAUAAGCUCAGCCAAACACCCUCUUAGUCUAGUUCUUGUAUUGUGAGCAUUCAGUAUGAAAUAGUGAUUAAAUUAUGAAAUUACAUUGUGAAACGAACAAUUUGAGCAUACAAAAAGUGAAAUAGUUUUAAAAUGAUGACUGGAAAAACAAGAACCAUAGUUAAAACAACAUAAAAGCACAAUGCAAAGCUAUGAAUUUAAGCCAACAAUGUCACAUUUAUGAGCAGCAAAACAAGAUCUAAAAGCAUGGAUCACACUCAGACUUCUCUCUUUGGUUGUUUGAUUGAUAUGUGACUCAAUAGAGCAUCAGAAAGAGCAGAAGUGGAUGUAAGAGAGGCUUUCAGUAUGCCCAAAGCCUGCACAAAAGAAAGCAAUCUCAACAUGUAAACAUAUGCUCAAAAAUAUAGUACCAACAGAUAUUUACCUCUUUCAACCCGAUUUCAAGCUCCACUUCUUUGACAUCAGAUAUCGAGAUUUUCUGCUCUUUGAGAGAGGAAAACAUGGAGACAAUACAUAAAGGUGUAACAGUUAAAUCAUCCGCCACGUGAUAAAUUUGAGGCCCCGUAAGAUAACUUCCCUUGCCAUUGGGAAACUUAAUAGAAGAAAACCAAUUUAUAUUAUCAAUGUAGACAGCAGGCAAGCAUUCUUCAGUGAGGGGGAAAAUGUAGUUUCCAGAAAUACAACCAUGAACCAGAUUGGGUUUCAUUAGCCUGUUUUUCGUAUCCGGGCUCUUGGGAUACUUGUCAAUAAGAUCAGCUGAGCUCCGAUACAAGUUGUCUAUAGCCUUAAUACAAGUCUUGCCGGCCACAACGUGCUCAGCUCCACCUAGUGGAAUAUGAAGGAGACCAAAUAGAAACUCUAUAAACUCUUCCUUAGCUUGAGCAUACAAAAACUUACCACUAGAUUUCUGUAUCAUCACUUUCAAACUUAACUUCUUAAAGUUGGGAUUUUCUUCCAUUGCAACAUUCUGCAGUAGUGGUGGAGAUUCCAAGAUUGAAGUGUUGAUCUGUCUUGUUUUUUUUAGGAUGACAUCCGACAGUGGAGUUGGGGACGUCAAGGAUGUCAUCAACAAGUUCAUAAUCUAACAAAAAUACACACAAAAUCAAACAAGUAAUAAGAAAAGAAGCUGUGAGAAAGAUAGAGAAUCAAGAAUCACCUCAUUGAACCCUAAAUCCACAUUGAUGAGCUCAGCCUUAUCCAUGUCUGUAAUACCAAGAGAGACGACGAUACCUACAAUCCCCGUCUCGUUUGGCAGUAUCUGCAGAUCAUCAGAGAUUAUGAAUGAUGCUUUAUGUAUGGUGAAAACUCCAUCUCUAGAAGCAGCUUUAGGCCCUUUUUCAUCUAGUACUACUUUCUCCAACUUACGAUAACAGUUCCAAAUAGGGCAAACUGUAAUAGUAUCAUAGUAAAUGCUCACACUACGAAAUCUUUUAGAGUGAACGCUACAAGAAAAAUAUUGAGCAGGUUGAAAAUCAGUGAUAUCGAGUUUCAGCCCCGCGUACUUGUCUUCGAAUGAACUAGUUGGAUUGAGCAGAGCCUGCUUAGCACCCUCAGUCACAAAAUGGGAGCCAACUUCAAGAUUUGCUACGCUUCGGUACAAAUUGCUUAAGCUUCCAAUGGUGGGUGCCUCAACUGAUCCAUAGUGCUUCUCGAGGACUUUCACAAUUCUUCCCAACGGCAAAGUCAAGAAGCUCAACAAAAUGUCUACAAAAUGGCUGUCAGCUUGUGCAAAGAGUACCCUAGUUUUCUCUUUAUUUAUCAUCACUUUCAAUGAGAACUCUGCAUCUUUAGCAUCAUCCAUUCUCGAGGUCCUACAAAUCAAGAAAAUUCCGAUUGACGAUAUUUAGAUCAAGCACAAGUACAUUGUCUCACUAAAUCUGAAAACUUCAAUUAUUAUGCAAGUAAAGGUAGAUCUUCACUAUGCCGAAAAGAUGUUCAUAUAUGUCUGCUGCAUCAAUAAGACUACAAUAAAAUUUCUUGCAUGCGUGUGCUGAUUUAGCGGUAAAGUAGUUAACGUUUGAGGCAUUUAGGCUCAAGUUCGAGUACACCGUGACACGGUCUUGUAAAAUAUUCCAAUCUCCUCCUCAAAAAAAAUCUUGAGCUAAAAAAUAAUUCCAUAAUAUACAUGAUAUACCUCAACAGAAAAUAAACAUAAAGGUGAGGUCUAAUAACUAAAAUAUUUAAACUUGAAUUUGAUACAGAAGUCGUCACUGCACUAAUUAGUUUAUAUGUGUAUUGAUCUAAUAGUAGAAUAUAAUUAAUGUUUGAGGUUAAAGGUAUCAAGAUUGCUAUUUGGACAUAAUAUGUUCAUAUAUAAAAUGGUCAAAUAUAUAAAAAUCGAUCAAUUUAAAAAUUUUGGCUCAAAAUAAAAAAGGAUUAAUUUAGUUAAUUAAAAAUAAAGACAGCUACAAUGUGAACAAAAUUUUAAAACUAGCUAAUUUUUUUUUUUAUUUUUUUAAAUCGAAAAUUUUAAAUUAAUUCUAUUUUGUAUAUAUUUGUUAAGUUCGAAUCCCCUGCCAAAUGAUCUUUAAAAUUAUUUAUUCAUGGACCCAAAAAAACCCAUUUUUUCGUCAAAUUCUGUCAUUAUUCAAAACCAAAAUCUAGUUUCCUGAGAGUCCAAUUAAAUCCUUCAUAAAGACUAAAAGAAGCUCGAAUUAAACAUCUCUUACUCGGGUAAUUCUAUCUAUAUCAAAGCCUAUUUUUCAGAAAAAAUUAAAAUUUAGUGUAUUUUAUUUCAAAUUUUAAAGAUUGCGAGCAAAAUCAAAAUCCGUCUAAAUUUUAUGUAUUUUGCGGCAAUUUACGCAUAAACAUAGUAGUAAUUAACUAAUUAAUAAUCAAUUAAAAAUAGGCACAGUGUGAACAAGAGAUGAAUAAGUCAAGAAUUACCUGAUUUCCAAUCUAUAAAAUUGGGGAUUUUCAGAGAAAAAGACAGAUUUUCAAGUCAACCCAGAAGAAAACAUGUUGUUGGAUGAGGGUGGCUGAGCUCGCGGCGGAGGAAGGGUGGCUGCGACGGUGGUUUUGAGCGGCUAAAAGUGAAGAGAGGAGUGGAUAGAUGAGUGAGAGAGAAGCACUGGCAUUAUUUGGCUACUAAAGCAAAAUGGAGCGCAAACAGUUGAGCUAUGCCAUUGGCGAAUCUUUGCUUUUUCACUUUUUUUUUAACUUCUUUUUCUGUUUUUCAACUUUUUCUUUUCCAUGUUUUUGGUUUGUCGGUUUCACAAAAAGUACUAUUGCAUGACUUUAUUUGACGCAAUUGUAAUUUAAUAUGUUUGAACAAAAAAGUACUAGUUAAAUACUUUAACAAAUAUAUUUAUUUAAAACUUUUGAUUAAAAAAAUAGUUAUUUUUAUUAUUUUCUCCAUAUUUUA